GACGAACGCUGGCGGCGUGCUUAACACAUGCAAGUCGAACGGAAAGGCCCUGCUUUUGUGGGGUGCUCGAGUGGCGAACGGGUGAGUAACACGUGAGUAACCUGCCCUUGACUUUGGGAUAACUUCAGGAAACUGGGGCUAAUACCGGAUAGGAGCUCCUGCUGCAUGGUGGGGGUUGGAAAGUUUCGGCGGUUGGGGAUGGACUCGCGGCUUAUCAGCUUGUUGGUGGGGUAGUGGCUUACCAAGGCUUUGACGGGUAGCCGGCCUGAGAGGGUGACCGGCCACAUUGGGACUGAGAUACGGCCCAGCCUCCUAGGGGAGGGAGCAGUGGGGAAUAGUGCAGACUGGGCGGAAGCCUGAUGCAGCAACGCCGCGUGAGGGAUGACGGCCUUCGGGUUGUAAACCGAUGUCGCCUGUGACGAAGCGUGAGUGACGGUAAUGGGUAAAGAAGCAAGGGCUAAGUACGUG
This 468-nucleotide ribosomal RNA is filed under the name uncultured bacterium. RNAcentral's name for it is "partial 16S ribosomal RNA". It matches the Rfam family "Bacterial small subunit ribosomal RNA", at positions 28 to 507 of the family's 1533-position model. The record is from RNAcentral.